GAUGAACGCUGGCGGCGUGCCUAAUACAUGCAAGUCGAGCGAACAGACGAGGAGCUUGCUCCUCUGACGUUAGCGGCGGACGGGUGAGUAACACGUGGAUAACCUACCUAUAAGACUGGGAUAACUUCGGGAAACCGGAGCUAAUACCGGAUAAUAUAUUGAACCGCAUGGUUCAAUAGUGAAAGACGGUUUUGCUGUCACUUAUAGAUGGAUCCGCGCCGCAUUAGCUAGUUGGUAAGGUAACGGCUUACCAAGGCAACGAUGCGUAGCCGACCUGAGAGGGUGAUCGGCCACACUGGAACUGAGACACGAUCCAGUCUCCUACGGGAGGCAGCAGUAGGGAAUCUUCCGCAAUGGGCGAAAGCCUGACGGAGCAACGCCGCGUGAGUGAUGAAGGUCUUCGGAUCGUAAAACUCUGUUAUUAGGGAAGAACAAAUGUGUAAGUAACUAUGCACGUCUUGACGGUACCUAAUCAGAAAGCCACGGCUAACUACGUG
RNAcentral lists this ribosomal RNA (497 nucleotides) under uncultured bacterium. RNAcentral's name for it is "partial 16S ribosomal RNA". It matches the Rfam family "Bacterial small subunit ribosomal RNA", at positions 28 to 507 of the family's 1533-position model. The record is from RNAcentral.